This 254-nucleotide ribosomal RNA is filed under the name uncultured bacterium. RNAcentral's name for it is "partial 16S ribosomal RNA". It matches the Rfam family "Bacterial small subunit ribosomal RNA", at positions 524 to 776 of the family's 1533-position model. The record is from RNAcentral.
UACGGGGGGAGCAAGCGUUGUUCGGAUUUACUGGGCGUAAAGGGCGCGUAGGCGGCCAGCACAAGUCAGUUGUGAAAUCUCCGGGCUUAACUCGGAAAGGUCAACUGAUACUGUGCGGCUAGAGUGCAGAAGGGGCAACUGGAAUUCUCGGUGUAGCGGUGAAAUGCGUAGAUAUCGAGAGGAACACCUGCGGCGAAGGCGGGUUGCUGGGCUGACACUGACGCUGAGGAGCGAAAGCGUGGGGAGCAAACAGG